GACUCAAUGGUUUAAUGGUAAAGCAUUCGCCUCGGGACCAGAAGAUCCAGGGUUCAAUUUCCGGUGGUAUUG
Molecule: transfer RNA, 72 nt
Filed under: Schistosoma japonicum
Lineage: Eukaryota; Metazoa; Platyhelminthes; Trematoda; Strigeidida; Schistosomatidae
Description: tRNA-Pro
Source: RNAcentral